RNAcentral lists this ribosomal RNA (381 nucleotides) under Wenzhouxiangella sp. Its description in RNAcentral is "bacterial SSU rRNA". It matches the Rfam family "Bacterial small subunit ribosomal RNA", at positions 1154 to 1533 of the family's 1533-position model. The record is from RNAcentral. Lineage: Bacteria; Pseudomonadati; Pseudomonadota; Gammaproteobacteria; Chromatiales; Wenzhouxiangellaceae.
GGUGACAAACCGGAGGAAGGUGGGGAUGACGUCAAGUCAUCAUGGCCCUUAUGGGCAGGGCUACACACGUGCUACAAUGGCCGGCACAAUGGGUUGCCAACCCGCGAGGGGGAGCUAAUCCCAUAAAACCGGUCGUAGUCCGGAUCGCAGUCUGCAACUCGACUGCGUGAAGUCGGAAUCGCUAGUAAUCGCAGAUCAGCAAUGCUGCGGUGAAUACGUUCCCGGGCCUUGUACACACCGCCCGUCACACCAUGGGAGUCGGCUGCACCAGAAGUCGGUAGUCUAACCUUCGGGAGGACGCCGCCCACGGUGUGGUCGAUGACUGGGGUGAAGUCGUAACAAGGUAGCCGUAGGGGAACCUGCGGCUGGAUCACCUCCUUU